This 472-nucleotide ribosomal RNA is filed under the name uncultured bacterium. RNAcentral's name for it is "bacterial SSU rRNA". It matches the Rfam family "Bacterial small subunit ribosomal RNA", at positions 355 to 825 of the family's 1533-position model. The record is from RNAcentral.
UGGGGAAUUUUGGACAAUGGGCGCAAGCCUGAUCCAGCCAUGCCGCGUGCAGGAUGAAGGCCUUCGGGUUGUAAACUGCUUUUGUACGGAACGAAAAGACUCUGGUUAAUACCUGGGGUCCAUGACGGUACCGUAAGAAUAAGCACCGGCUAACUACGUGCCAGCAGCCGCGGUAAUACGUAGGGUGCGAGCGUUAAUCGGAAUUACUGGGCGUAAAGCGUGCGCAGGCGGUUAUAUAAGACAGAUGUGAAAUCCCCGGGCUCAACCUGGGAACUGCAUUUGUGACUGUAUAGCUAGAGUACGGCAGAGGGGGAUGGAAUUCCGCGUGUAGCAGUGAAAUGCGUAGAUAUGCGGAGGAACACCGAUGGCGAAGGCAAUCCCCUGGGCCUGUACUGACGCUCAUGCACGAAAGCGUGGGGAGCAAACAGGAUUAGAUACCCCGGUAGUCCCUGAGCGGGCUGGCAAGGCGCAU